AACGAACGCUGGCGGCAGGCCUAACACAUGCAAGUCGAGCGAGAUCUUCGGGUCUAGCGGCGGACGGGUGAGUAACGCGUGGGAAUAUGCCUCUUGGUACGGAAUAGCCUCGGGAAACUGGGAGUAAUACCGUAUGUGCCCUUUGGGGGAAAGAUUUAUCGCCAAGAGAUUAGCCCGCGUUGGAUUAGGUAGUUGGUGGGGUAAUGGCCUACCAAGCCGACGAUCCAUAGCUGGUUUGAGAGGAUGAUCAGCCACACUGGGACUGAGUCACGGCCCAGACUCCUACGGGAGGCAGCAGUGGGGAAUCUUAGACAAUGGGGGCAACCCUGAUCUAGCCAUGCCGCGUGAGUGAUGAAGGCCUUAGGGUUGUAAAGCUCUUUCAGCUGGGAAGAUAAUGACGGUACCAGCAGAAGAAGCCCCGGCUAACUCCGUG
This 433-nucleotide ribosomal RNA is filed under the name uncultured bacterium. RNAcentral's name for it is "partial 16S ribosomal RNA". It matches the Rfam family "Bacterial small subunit ribosomal RNA", at positions 29 to 507 of the family's 1533-position model. The record is from RNAcentral.